Molecule: non-coding RNA, 74 nt
Organism: Zophobas morio
Lineage: Eukaryota; Metazoa; Arthropoda; Insecta; Coleoptera; Tenebrionidae
Source: the annotation of a RefSeq genome assembly
UCCCGCGUAGCUCAGUUGGUUAGAGCGUCGUGCUUAUAACGCGAAUGUCGGCGGUUCGACCCCGCCCGCGGGAG